UAACGCGAAGAACCUUACCUAGGCUAGAAUGCGCGUGACCGGCUCAGAGAUGAGCUUUUCCUUCGGGACACAAAGCAAGGUGCUGCAUGGCCGUCGUCAGCUCGUGCCGUGAGGUGUUGGGUUAAGUCCCGCAACGAGCGCAACCCCUAUGUUUAGUUGCCAGCAUGUAAUGAUGGGGACUCUAGACAGACUGCCUGCGCAAGCAGUGAGGAAGGCGGGGACGACGUCAGGUCAUCAUGGCCCUUACGCCUAGGGCGACACACGUGCUACAAUGGACGGUACAGCGGGUAGCUACUGGGCGACCAGAUGCCAAUCUCGAAAAGCCGUUCUCAGUUCGGAUCGGAGUCUGCAACUCGACUCCGUGAAGCUGGAAUCACUAGUAAUCGCGCAUCAGCCAUGGCGCGGUGAAUACGUUCCCGGGUCUUGUUAAGGUUCUUCGCGUUACCCCGGUGUGUACAA
RNAcentral lists this ribosomal RNA (459 nucleotides) under uncultured bacterium. RNAcentral describes it as "bacterial SSU rRNA". It matches the Rfam family "Bacterial small subunit ribosomal RNA", at positions 957 to 1384 of the family's 1533-position model. The record is from RNAcentral.